GACGAACGCUGGCGGCGUGCCUAAUACAUGCAAGUAGAACGCUGAAGGAGGAGCUUGCUCUUCUGGAUGAGUUGCGAACGGGUGAGUAACGCGUAGGUAACCUGCCUGGUAGCGGGGGAUAACUAUUGGAAACGAUAGCUAAUACCGCAUAACAGUAGAUGUUGCAUGACAUUUACUUAAAAGGUGCAAUUGCAUCACUACCAGAUGGACCUGCGUUGUAUUAGCUAGUUGGUGGGGUAACGGCUCACCAAGGCGACGAUACAUAGCCGACCUGAGAGGGUGAUCGGCCACAAUGGGACUGAGACACGGCCCAGACUCCUACGGGAGGCAGCAGUAGGGAAUCUUCGGCAAUGGACGGAAGUCUGACCGAGCAACGCCGCGUGAGUGAAGAAGGUUUUCGGAUCGUAAAGCUCUGUUGUAAGAGAAGAACGAGUGUGAGAGUGGAAAGUUCACACUGUGACGGUAUCUUACCAGAAAGGGACGGCUAACUACGUG
Molecule: ribosomal RNA, 495 nt
Filed under: uncultured bacterium
Lineage: Bacteria
Description: partial 16S ribosomal RNA
Rfam family: Bacterial small subunit ribosomal RNA
Source: RNAcentral